CAUAAGACAGAGCAUGUCCCAUUGGACUCAUGUUUCUGUCCCCCUGAUGAAUGGAAGGCCUUAAUUCACUGGCCUUUUAGAUCUGUUUUGAUCUUGGUCUCCUGAUAAACACAACAUUAUCUGUGUAUGUAGCUCUCUCAAUGUUUAAUUUAUUAUUAUUAGAUAUAUAUAAUUAGCAACUACCCAUUAACUUUGCAGCUCUUUGCUGUUUUAUGCUGGGCCUGUUAGCUGGAAAUGACUGAAUUCAGUUUUAUAUCUGUUUAUCCAUUUAUAUUUGUGUAUUUGUGACAACAGUGAGACUUGUACAGUAUAUUGUUGUGGCUCAGUUCCAUCAUGUUUCCAGUGAGCAGGCAUGCGCAACAGCAGAAGCCCCACCUAAAUGGAAUGCAGCCUUCGGUAAAUAAUAUUAUUGAUUACACCUGUGCUUGUCCAGCUAGGACACAUCAAAAUAUCUGCUAAUGAAAAACCUCUAUGAGCUAAAAUCUGCAAAGAGCUGAAUAGCUGGUAAUGAAUUAGACUGAAAUUGGGCUUGUUGUCAUUAUGUGUUUUUUUUAUAUAUAAACUCAUGAAAAGGUAAGCCCAUUAAGUAUCAGAAAUGCACGUUACAACGUGUCACAAUCCAAACUUAAGUCUUAAAAUUGCUUAUUUAAUUUAACCAACAGUCAUGGCAGUUGAUCCGUAGUCUGUUGAUCAAUUGGUCAAUUGAUUAACCACCUUCACUAACUGUCAGUGCCAUUUGUUUUCCUGCUUGUCAAAGUAAACUUUUUGCUUUUGUGGGCAGGGACAAUUUCAUGCUUUUAUUUUGAAGCUACACUCGCUUGUUUCCGGUCUUGUGUGCGUUGUCUCCGGACAACUUGACUCAGCUCCUUCUGUGAUGCUUUGAGUGCUCGCGUCGCUGCGCGGGGGUGUAGUGGAGGCGCACCGCACAUCUGGACUGCGGAACAACCGGAAAAUCGCACUUUUUGAGAAGACGAAUUUGUGCGUGUCUCUUCUCUGUUCCUAAUGACUUCCCACAUGACAGCAGAAUAUAACAUAGGCUUAUUAUUAUUAUUAUUAUUGUUGUUGUUGUUGUUGUUAUUUCAGAAAAGCCUUUUUUUAGUCAUUGAGGUCAUGCUCUCACCUCAGUGCCUAAAAGUAUUCACCUUCCUUGUCUGACUUGGCCUAAAUAUUCAUGACAUGAAAUCUUGGGCCAGAAAGUGGCAGUGUCUGCCUCCUCUGGGGUUGUACGUGCACCCCUGCUGACUGAGGAUAAAUACUGUGACAACACUGCCCCCCCCCCCCCCCCCCCCCCCCAACCCACCCCUUCCAGCUGAAUAGCUACACAAGGUGAAUGGGCUGCCCAAAGAUCUACUCAUGUGGAGACAAACGAGCUCUUAGUGGGAGUUUCAUUUUCACAGUUGCUGCAGGAGACUGUCAGCCACAAAAACAGCUGCAUGCACAACACAGCACUGAAGGCACAGUGGAGCUGUUUCACCCGCCAUUCAGGAAAGUGUAAUUUGGUUGUAAAGUAACCAUGGUAACAUAGAAAAAGAGGUGACUCCAGGGCAGGUGGAGGGAAGGAGUCUGUGUGCAGGAUUAUUCUCUUAUUGCUGAAUAAGCCUCCCGGUGGGGGACUCAAGGCUGAUUCUGUAACAGUGAGGAAAACCACAUGUUGUGGUGGAUUUCUGUAUCCAGCUGUCCUUUGCCAGAUGUUAUUAAUGCUCAUCUUAUGCAAACACGCUGCCGUUACAUUAGCUGCAGAGCAAGUAGCAGCAUCUUUCACUUCACAAUAUCAGUGAAACCUGAAAGUCUGCCCUGUGUUUUCUUUUCUUUUCGCACCACUAAACCACAGUUUUCAGCCACUUUGACAGACCAUAAUAUUAUUUGUGUCAUAUAGAAGGUUGUUGGAACAGUAACAGAUGUAGGAGUGAAUGCCUGUGAAGUUCAUUACUGAGGCCAGUGACAUUUGGGCUAUUCUUUGAUCAGUAGUAACCCCUUUACAUGUAGAAGGAAGUAGCAGUUUAGCAUUUGCUCAAAAUACCCUGAAGUGUGCUCUUCCCCAGGGCAUUGCAGCAUUUUUGUGUCUGCAACAACAGCCGACUUUGUUCUCUGUCCCAAACCACUAUGUUAACACAGUUCAGGUCCACUAAUAAAAAUAUAUCUAUACAAAAGCCAUAUAUUUAUUACAUUCUGAUUAAAUAAAAAAAAAGGCAAUUGAAUACCCACAGAGAUAUGGGUAGAAAAGAUUCAGGAGUUGACUCACAGGUUUUAUUAAAAUUCUGUGGUGGGAUUCAUACAUAAAAGGUAAUGUAACAUGAUGGCUUGAUGUAUUCUCCACGGGGGGAUUGACACUGACAGUAGGGGUAAAUUACCUGUUGAAAUGAAUAACCAGCAAACAUAGUGAGGGGGGUGUAAGUUUCACUUUUAUACUGUAAAAUUAUCUCACAUCAGUAAUGGAUCUUGAGACUACUUUUCUACUUGAUACCAACUCUCUGCAAAAAACUUUAACAUGGGGAACUUUCUUUUGUUCAGAAUCAAUCAUUUUAUCAUAACCAAUGCCCAGUAAAGGUAAACUUAAAAUAACUAGUUCAGUGCUCAGGUUGGAAACUUGUCUGAUGAGUCAUAAAGUUUGAUAUAACAGCUCAAAUUCAGCUCCGGUCAGCAGCUCUCUAUUUUCAGAAAGAGCUCUUACAGGAAAUCUUCUGGUUUCAGCUUUUUGGUUUCCCAGUUCCAUUAUUUCAACAAAAGGGAACUUCAUUACUGCAAGCGUGAGGCGUUGAAGAGAAACUACAUGACUUCACUCUCAACUCAGACCUUGACCUACAACGAUGAACUCUUCUUCUGUCCCGACUAACAGCACAAAUGCUGGCAGCUCCCCAGGUUCUUCAGGUGUGGCUGUGGGGGUGACACUCUUCUUUCUGCUUGUUGUGGUUGUAGCCGGUGUGAUUGGAUACAAAUACCAAGGUAAAAUCAGAAAUAUGGUGCAGUCUGGACGAAGAAGAAGCCAGAGGAAGAAAGAGGACUAUUCAGAGACGACACAAACUGAUACCCAUCAGUAUACCAGUAUGAUCAGGGAACCGUCAACAGGACACACCCCUAUCUAUGAAAACCUGACAACUCAAACUCAAAGGCCUGCAGAAAACCAGAGCAGGUCGCCUAGUGAACCUGAAGAGGAUUUCUACUUGCAGUGUGAUUUACCAGAUGAGGCAAUAUACAGCAAUGACCCGAAUUGUAACCUUGCCAUCCUCCCCAGCUCCCAAGAAGAGGACGUGUACAUUAUGCCAGAUUCAUGAUAGAAAAAAAAAAAAAAAAUUUGUAUUAAUGUCUGAAUAUUUUUACUCGAUGUAUGCUCUGAGCCACGGUCGCUGGCUCGCGCUGUAAAUGUAUACUGUCCCACAUUAAAAAUAUGAGCUAUAGCUGACCUAUAAAAAAAAUAUCAUCUGUAGGCCAUGAAUACUCAGUAUAAGUGUACCACCACGCACAGUAUAUUUUACACUUAUGUUUUAUUAUUGUGCAUUACAUGUGAUUUUAGGGAAUCAUUGCACAAGUUGUUAUACAUGUUAUAGUAGCUCAAGAUUUUGGAGAAAGAAUACUGUAGCAUGGGGGGGUGGGGUGGGCGCAAUAUGACUGUUUCAAAUUAUGACUGUAGUGGACGCACUGUACAAGUUAAGACAUUUUGUCAUCAGUCCAACGCAAUUGAUACGCUGAUUAGAGCUGAUUGUUUUUUUUUAGGGUUUCUCAUGAAUUGUCUCAACUUACUGAUGAAUCACUUUCAUCUUGGCCUUUAGAAAAGAGAAGUGUGGGCAGUUGGUUCACAGUUGUGUGGUAAAGUCAUGCAUAUAUUCUUUUUUCUCUUUUUUUUAUAUCGUCACUUCUGCAUUUGGCCUUCGAUUAGAUUUUGAAACAUUUCAGUGGCAGACAAAAGGAACUUUUGGCCGUAGGUUUUGUAAUUUUCUCUGUAUUCCACGUAGUUAACGAACACAAAAUACUUGAAACAACAUUUUUUUUACGUCAAAUUACCAAGGGGAGGGUAUGUGAAAAUGAAAAUAAGUUGUGCAGAGUUUGUCAUAACAGGCCACUGUUCACAGCAGCUGCAUCACUGACACAAAAAUUCUGUUUGAACAUUUAAAUUUAUUCUGCUCAGUGUUGUCACCAUGAAAAGUUGUUAUCAACGGCCACAACAUGAAACAUGUAAACCUGUUAAAAAUAAAAAGAAUGAAAGUCAUGAAUCUAGUUUUUAUAAUUUAGGAGAUUUUAUUAUUCAGAUUCAGGCCAAAUUAUUAAGAUACGUUUAUGAAGACGAGACACAAAGAACAAUACACUGAUCAAAACAAAAAAACAACAAUAUUAACUGUCUCUCCUUCAAAUUAUAAGCCAGCAUUUCUGUCAUAUUAGGUUUUAGAACAAGAAAUGAGAAAAGUAUAAUUUACUUGCCCACUAUCUGUCAAAUGAUGCAAAUGCUGACAGUAUUUACAUUACAAAAAGUACUGUUUUUCUAAAAUAGGUGCAGAAAACCCAUAAAGAUAAAAACAUGGCGAUUUCACACACACACACACUCGUGCGUGCGCAUGCGUGUUUAACAAGCUCACCAUCAAAUCUAGCAAAAUAAAGUAAAAAAAAAUGCAAAGGUCAGCAACACAUUGACAAACACAGAGAGGAUGUGAAAAUCUUUCUGACCAUGUUGCUGAACUAAACAGAUAAAACAGAAAAAGUGAAAAGAAAAAAAAAAUCUUGAGGCUUUGUCAAAAAGUUGCAGACUAAUGCGAAAGACAGGUUUGUGCAUCUUUGGACAGAUAAUGACUGAGGGUUCACGCACCAUCAUUUCUUUGCUUUUAUUUUUGUUUCCUGUUAUCUAAUAACUGGAGGCUAAUGAGUUCAUACUGUACAUCUCAGAUUACACACGGAAGGAUUUGAUAAAUACUGUCCCUAAUUAUUUCAUACUUGUAUACUCUGGGUGGAACUGAAACUCAGGACCUUUUCAGAGUCUAAGAUUGAGGACCUUUUCAUACAAUCACAGCUGUGUAAUGACUGAGGAUGUCAUCCUUAAAACAAAGAGCAACAGAACCAAAACAAAGGAAUAAAUGAGCAGUUAAUGGGCACAGGCCUACAUUUACCAUAAGUGUGAUUACAGUUAGCAUUUGUGUCUCCAGCUCUGAUUAAUCACCUCUUAAUUCAUCUGCCUAUUUAUUCAGUCGUCCAGGGUCACUCAACAUGCCCGACCCCUUAAUACGUUCACUUUAUUAAUUAUGAAACAACAUAUGCUCCCGUUUAAGUGACCUUUACUCAUUCAGAGAUAAAAAACUACUAAAUACUCAUUGGGGUGGUGGUGCAACUUCUUGGAAUAACCCAACAAUAAAUAUUUCAGAGGAGUUUGCUACUGAUUUCAGCUCACUGAUGUUCACUUACAGUGGUCACAGGUCACAGUGCUCUUUUCUUUUUUUUUUUUUGCACUCUGGCAUCUUUUCUAACAUGAAAUAUUUUUUCUUGUCUCGGCAUCACACUUAUCUUAGGAUAUCUCACAUGUUUAUUUGUUUUUUUUUUCUAAUGACUUAUCUCGACAGCACAUAAAAGCAAAUAUUACAGACCAGAGCUCUGAUAAUCUGCAAUAAAAAAUUUCGGGCAACGUCAUUGAUGUUUAAUCAAAACACUCUCAAGUUUACACAGCAGGCAGCUUUUCCUUUUUCCCUGCCAAAUUUAAAUGAAUAAAUGUAUUAGUUUUAACCCUUAACAUACAGGUCAAGGGCACAAUGAACACAACUUCAAGGUCAAUUAUGGGAGAUAGAAGUUGUCAUAUCUUUACGUGCUGAUUUCUCUGCCACACCCUGACCCUUUCUAAUCUACAGUGGUGAAAGUACUUCUGUGAAUAAAUGACAAAUGUGCGAAAA
Molecule: long non-coding RNA, 5864 nt
Organism: Toxotes jaculatrix (banded archerfish)
Lineage: Eukaryota; Metazoa; Chordata; Actinopteri; Toxotidae
Exons: 5
Source: RefSeq, a predicted model, not a curated record